This 460-nucleotide ribosomal RNA is filed under the name uncultured bacterium. RNAcentral's name for it is "partial 16S ribosomal RNA". It matches the Rfam family "Bacterial small subunit ribosomal RNA", at positions 338 to 795 of the family's 1533-position model. The record is from RNAcentral.
CCUACGGGGGGCUGCAGUGAGGAAUAUUGGUCAAUGGACGAGAGUCUGAACCAGCCAAGUAGCGUGAAGGAUGACUGCCCUAUGGGUUGUAAACUUCUUUUAUAUGGGAAUAAAAUGUUCCACGUGUGGGAUUUUGUAUGUACCAUAUGAAUAAGGAUCGGCUAACUCCGUGCCAGCAGCCGCGGUAAUACGGAGGAUCCGAGAGUUAUCCGGAUUUAUUGGGUUUAAAGGGAGCGUAGGUGGAUUGUUAAGUCAGUUGUGAAAGUUUGCGGCUCAACCGUAAAAUUGCAGUUGAAACUGGCAGUCUUGAGUACAGUAGAGGUGGGCGGAAUUCGUGGUGUAGCGGUGAAAUGCUUAGAUAUCACGAAGAACUCCGAUUGCGAAGGCAGUUCACUGGACUGCAACUGACACUGAGGCUCGAAAGUGUGGGUAUCAAACAGGAUUAGAUACCCGAGUAGUC